RNAcentral lists this long non-coding RNA (259 nucleotides) under Bos taurus (domestic cattle). RNAcentral's name for it is "long non-coding RNA NONBTAT017014". Lineage: Eukaryota; Metazoa; Chordata; Mammalia; Artiodactyla; Bovidae. The record is from RNAcentral.
AUCAGAUCUCAACAAGCACAUCCCUUGCUCCCAUCUGUGAUCCGGAUCCUGUGAAACUCCCAACCAGUUCAGCUGCAUUUUCCAGUGAGUACGCGUUAGGGAUAUAGGGGUUCUCAGAACCAUUCAGGAUUCACACUGCCUUCCCCUGACUUCCUUCUACAAAGAUGCUGAUACUGCAUAGGUAUCCUGACUCUCAGGGGUUUUCCCUGGUCCACUCAUAUCUAGGUGUUUGUGGAGAUACCUUAAAACCUAGUAACAG